This is a long non-coding RNA of Myotis brandtii (Brandt's bat), 2772 nucleotides long. RefSeq lists it as uncharacterized. Lineage: Eukaryota; Metazoa; Chordata; Mammalia; Chiroptera; Vespertilionidae. The record is from RefSeq and is a predicted model, not a curated record. The transcript is spliced from 2 exons.
UUUCACUUAGCAUAGCACUCUCCAGGUCCCUCCAUGCUGUCUCCAAGGGUAAGAGAGCCUUCUUUUUCACUCCACAGUAGAAUGUGAGGCCUAUGGCUCUGUGCCAUUUCAGUUCUACCAAAUGCUUAGGGAUUUUAAGGGACUACCAACAUCUCAUUCCAUAUGCCAAGAAACUCAUGCUUCAGACUAUAAAACAACCUAUUUUGGAGUUAAGGGCAUCAGGUGACCUGGAUAACCAUGGGACCACCACUUUGCCACAGGGUCUCCCUGUUCCUGACCUUCAGUCCUCGGGGAAGCCUGCAUUAGGGACUCUGCUCUGACUGUCCAUCUAUGGGUAGCAGUUAGCGCCAGCAGGAUGCUUCUUAGGAGUUACAUUCAGUGAUGUAUUAUUAAGGUCAUGUAUUAUUAAGGUCACACAUGAAUUAUGUGCACUUACAGGUCGAGAUAAAUUAUGCCAAUAUAGGAGCAUCAAAAUUAUUGUGCCUUCUCUAUAUCCUCUUCCUACCUCCAAAAGAAAUGUCAGACAUGAUGUGACAAAUCUGAAAGGAUGUACCAAGAGUUCCCCAAAACGUCUUCAAGCCAUUAGAGAAUGUCCUUUUAGGUCAUUGCUAUUCAAACACAUAAGCAGCCAAUCGAUGGGAAUAGCAUACAGCUAGGUGGGGGAAUUCUGAGUUUGGGGUUGUGACUAAACUAAAAUACCAUGUAUUUCUCACCAGUGUUGGUGACAGUCUCCCAUACAUUCUAAUGUGCCAUGCUAAGAGGGGUUCAGUGUUGCUGGAACAACCAAAUAGGUAUGAACAAAGCUCUUCACUGAUAUGCCUCAGGCUUUAGAUCAGGUGCAGGCUGUCUCGAAUUAGCCAGGACCACAAAUUUCCGCCAGGACUUCUUCUCUGGCUCAUCUCAAGAUCCCUAGCGAGAUCAAUAUUUGCUUCGGAAAAAUAUGCAAAGAGGAUGAUCUCAUUACUAAAUAACUUAGCAGCCAAUGGGGAGGAGUGUAACUCAACUCCAGAGAUGUCACAAGGAACUGAGAGAAUAAAAGGUGCCUGGAGCCUGCACCGACCCAUCUGUACACCUUGAUGGGACCCCUGGAGAAAGGUGUGCCACUGCCCCAGCCCCACGCCACCUUCCCUUUGUAGCGUGUGAAUGACUCACAAUCUGUGGCGUCAUCUCCUAAAGCCUCCAGAGUAUGUAAGCAUGAGUAUCCGAUGGAAUAUGCUACUUAACUAGAAAUGUGCUUAACACAGAGCAUCACCUGGCACAGGCUUGCUUCUAUUUCUCGUAUUUAUUAAAGGGCAAAUUAAAUUUCUUCAUUGCCCAAAUUGAACCUAAUUUACAACCACUUAAAAUGGUGGAAUCCCCCUGGGUCAUGAAAAAACAAAACCCUCUUGUUUUUCUGGUUAUUUGGGUCAUUUGAACAAAGACGCAUCCUCACCGCCGUGAGCCCAAUGCUGGUUUUGAGCUGUGAACACAGCAAGGAGCAGGGCAGCACUGCCCUGCCAGGUUUCUGUCUCAUUUCAAUGUGGCCCACUGUCCUUUCCAGCCCAAGCAACCCUUCCUGAAGACUAUUCAAGCAACACCAAGAACAAUGUGAAAUCACACUUUGCAUUUAAGGAACACACGAAAUGUGCAUCUGAAUGGUUUUUAAAAUUUUGUUUUUAAUUCAUCCCCACUCCAUAUGCAGUCUAAAAGACGGUUCAAAGACAUCUGCUGGUUUCUAGACCACCUGUUUGAGAUUACUGGAUUUGACACAUUUCUUUUUCUCGAGUGGUGAUGGCCCCUUCUGCUUGUUUGCUCAAAUCCACACUCUUGCCUGUUCCCCCGGGGGGCACAUACACACUUGGGACAGUCGCUGGGCUAAUCUCAUUUUGGACACUUUUAUGUUUGCUAACUGGCCUUUUUAGGUCAAAUCUCAAUCGUGGGCUCACUGGAGUCAUGCUCUAGUCAACAGAGCUAUAAAUGCUAAACAGUUAAGAGGCAAAUAAGCAAAAUCAACUUUUGCUUUUUAUAUUUUCUAGGUAAGAUUUGGGGCUUUAAAAAGAAGUAUCUUAUGAAAAAAGAAAAAAGUAUAAGUGAGCAUUUAAAAAGGAUUUUUGUUACCAACAAAAGAGAAACACAAUUUAAUUCCAUUUGUUCCAUGGAGAAGAAAACAGGUAUAAAAGGAAGUGACUUUAUAUUUAGAUUUAACAUGGGUCCUAACCUAAUAAUAAAACUAUUUUGUUAAAACCACAAUAAAAAUUAAAACUAAUCUAAAAUAUAAUUGCAGUGUUCUUUAGGAUUUGAGAGAAAUGUUGCAGGGUGAAGCGAAUGUUCCCUUGGGUUGCCAAAUGCAUUCCGAAGAGUGUUUCCUAGGUGGUGGGAAUAGAAGGCCAGUGUCAAUCUUGUUUAUCCAUAAGGACUAACCUUCAACUACACAUACAGAUUUAAGACUUGCCCUACCGCAAUGUCCAAGUAUCGGAAAUUGUAAGCUAGAUGUACCUGCAUGGGAAGUUUUUUUCACAACUCACCAGAAUAAAGAAGCUCUCAGAAAAGGAAAAAAAAAAGCCACUGUGUGGCAACCUGCAAGGAAAACCCUAAUGUAGAAGAACAACUACUUAUUUUUUUUCAACCGCAGAGUUUGUUUUUGAAAAUUCACCUACUGCCCUGGCCAGUGUGGCUCAGUUGGUUGAGCGUCGUCCCCUGCACCGAAAGGUGGUGGGUUCGAUCAAUUCCUGGUCCAUGCAUGUCUGGGAGGCAACUGAUGGAUGUUUCUCUCUCUCUCAAAAAAAAAAAAAA